AAAAAGAUAAGCUAAAUAAGCUUUUGGGCUCAUACCCCGACCAUGGGGUCAAUCAACCCCUCUUUUUA
Molecule: transfer RNA, 68 nt
Filed under: Scelimena sp. 1 JL-2023a
Lineage: Eukaryota; Metazoa; Arthropoda; Insecta; Orthoptera; Tetrigidae
Description: tRNA-Met
Source: RNAcentral